Molecule: non-coding RNA, 54 nt
Organism: Salmo salar (Atlantic salmon)
Lineage: Eukaryota; Metazoa; Chordata; Actinopteri; Salmoniformes; Salmonidae
Source: Rfam
CACCUAGCUAACUGUAAGUCACUCUGGAUAAGAGUGUCUGCUAAAUUACUCAAA